UACGUAGGGGGCAAGCGUUGUCCGGAAUCAUUGGGCGUAAAGAGCGUGUAGGCGGCCAGAUAAGUCCGCUGUGAAAACUCGAGGCUCAACUUCGAGCUGUCGGCGGAAACUAUCUGGCUAGAGUCCGGAAGAGGAGAGUGGAAUUCCUGGUGUAGCGGUGAAAUGCGCAGAUAUCAGGAAGAACACCCGUGGCUAAGGCGGCUCUCUAGUACGGUACUGACGCUGAGACGCGAAAGCGUGGGGAGCGAACAGG
This 253-nucleotide ribosomal RNA is filed under the name uncultured bacterium. RNAcentral describes it as "partial 16S ribosomal RNA". It matches the Rfam family "Bacterial small subunit ribosomal RNA", at positions 524 to 776 of the family's 1533-position model. The record is from RNAcentral.